This is a non-coding RNA of Lentinula aff. lateritia, 80 nucleotides long. The record is from the annotation of a GenBank genome assembly. Lineage: Eukaryota; Fungi; Basidiomycota; Agaricomycetes; Agaricales; Omphalotaceae.
GGCCGACUAGCUCAGUUGGUUAGAGCGUCGUGCUAAUAUAAGUGACGCGAAGGUCUUGGGUUCGAUCCCCACGUUGGCCA